GAUGAACGCUGGCGGCGUGCCUAAUACAUGCAAGUCGAGCGAAAGGACGAGAAGCUUGCUUCUCUGAUGUUAGCGGCGGACGGGUGAGAAACACGUGGAUAACCUACCUAUCAGACUGGGAAAACUUCGGGAAAGCGGCGCUUAUCGCGGAUAAUAUUCUGAUCCGCAUGGUUCAAAAGAGAAAGACGGUCUUGGUGUCACUAAUAGAUGGAUACGCGCUGCUUUAGCUAGUUGGUAAGGUAAAGGCCUAUCACGGCAACGAGGCAUAGCCGAGCUGAGAGGCUGAUCGCCCACCUUGGAACUGGGCCGCCGACCUGACUCCUGCGAUAGGCAGCAGUAGCGUAUCUUCCGCAAUAGGCGAAAGCCUUGCAGAGCGGCGCCACGUGUGUGAUAGAGGUCUUCCGUGCGUGAUACUCUCUUAUUGGUUGUAAACAGAUGUCGAAGUAACUGUACACUGCUUGACGGUACCUAAUCAGAAAGCCACGGCUAACUACGUG
Molecule: ribosomal RNA, 497 nt
Filed under: uncultured bacterium
Lineage: Bacteria
Description: partial 16S ribosomal RNA
Rfam family: Bacterial small subunit ribosomal RNA
Source: RNAcentral